Molecule: ribosomal RNA, 247 nt
Filed under: uncultured bacterium
Lineage: Bacteria
Description: partial 16S ribosomal RNA
Rfam family: Bacterial small subunit ribosomal RNA
Source: RNAcentral
AGCGAUCCGGAGCAAACCCCACGAAAUAAACGUCCCAGUUCGGAUUGCAGGCUGCAACCCGCCUGCGUGAAGCUGGAAUCGCUAGUAAUCGCGGAUCAGAAUGCCGCGGUGAAUACGUUCCCGGGUCUUGUACACACCGCCCGUCACACCAUGGGAGCUGGUAACACCCGAAGUCAGUAGUCUAACCGCAAGGAGGACGCUGCCGAAGGUGGGAUUAGCGACUGGGGUGAAGUCGUAACAAGGUACC